Gallus gallus (chicken) is the source of this 109-nucleotide microRNA precursor. NCBI's taxonomy places the organism in Eukaryota, Metazoa, Chordata, Aves, Galliformes, Phasianidae. The record is from Ensembl.
AGCCUUAUUAAGAGCAGCUGAGGGAGCUGGGAUUGUUCAGGAGAGGAGGCUCAGGUGUGACCUUAUCACUCUCUAGAACUACUCAAAGGGAAGCUGUGGUGAGGUGGAG